This 71-nucleotide transfer RNA is filed under the name Marmota monax (woodchuck). RNAcentral describes it as "tRNA.Val". It matches the Rfam family "tRNA". Rfam says of the family: Transfer RNA (tRNA) molecules are approximately 80 nucleotides in length. Their secondary structure includes four short double-helical elements and three loops (D, anti-codon, and T loops). Lineage: Eukaryota; Metazoa; Chordata; Mammalia; Rodentia; Sciuridae. The record is from RNAcentral.
GGGGUUGUAGCUCAGUGGGAGAGCGCUUGCAUCACACGUGUGAGGCCCUGAGUUUGAUCCUCAGCACCACA